GGACGCAUCACUGGUGUUCGGGUUGUCAUGCCAAUGGCACUGCCCGGUAGCUAAAUGCGGAAGAGAUAAGUGCUGAAAGCAUCUAAGCACGAAACUUGCCCCGAGAUGAGUUCUCCCUGAGACUUUAGGUCUCCUGAAGGAACGUUGAAGACGACGACGUUGAUAGGCCGGGUGUGUAAGCGCAGCGAUGCGUUGAGCUAACCGGUACUAAUGAACCGUGAGGCUUAACCUU
This 232-nucleotide ribosomal RNA is filed under the name Salmonella enterica subsp. enterica serovar Derby. RNAcentral describes it as "partial 23S ribosomal RNA". It matches the Rfam family "Bacterial large subunit ribosomal RNA", at positions 2699 to 2925 of the family's 2925-position model. The record is from RNAcentral. Lineage: Bacteria; Pseudomonadati; Pseudomonadota; Gammaproteobacteria; Enterobacterales; Enterobacteriaceae. RNAcentral also lists the same sequence under 9 other names.